Molecule: ribosomal RNA, 405 nt
Filed under: uncultured bacterium
Lineage: Bacteria
Description: partial 16S ribosomal RNA
Rfam family: Bacterial small subunit ribosomal RNA
Source: RNAcentral
AUUGAACGCUGGCGGCAGGCCUAACACCUGCAAGUCGAACGAGUGGCGGACGGGUGAGUAAUGUCUGGGAAACUGGCCGAUGGAGGGGGAUAACUACUGGCAACGGGAGCUAAUACCGCAUACCAUCGGAUGUGCCCAGAUGGGAUUAGAUAGUAGGUGGGGAAACGGCUCACCUAGGAGACGAUCCCUAGCUGGUCUGUGCGGAGGACCAGCCACACUGGAACUGAGACACGGGCCAGACUCCUACGGGAGGCAGCAGUGGGGAAUAUUGCACAAUGGGCGCAAGCAUGAUGCAGCCAUGCCGCGUGUAUGAAGAAGGCCUUCGGGUUGUAAAGUACUUUCAGCGAGGAGGCGUUACUCGCAGAAGAAGCACCGGCUAACUCCGUGCCAGCAGGCGCGGUAAUG